UAAGAGGAUUACAUCAACUCGACAGUCACCAUUUUACAUUCUAGAGAAUUAAACCUGUUUUUGACAAUAUGAAAGGACUAAACUUCUAAGUAGGUUGCUGACCAUAUAUGCCAAGAGCUUCUCUACAUGAGUGAUUUAUGUCACACACACGACUGGCCAUUCAUGGAAGUUUGCAAGAUCUUUACAUGACACUGUCAAUCUUCAGGACGUCUGCUGUGCCUUCGCCUGAGAUCUGGAGCACAAUCUGAGCUCUCCUGAAUGAGACCCACUGAAAUGGAUGUUGCUGUGCAAGAACAUUGCAAAGAACCCUUUAAGCAAUAAAAUGAAACCUCAACCACUUGGGUUGCAAAAGUGGAUUCUGGGGCAUUCAGAUUUUUCUUCCAACACACCAAAUGUGUACAAAGCAGAUGUAAUGCCAGUGCUGGGCAAAUGGUAAAACUGCCACCUUCUU
This is a long non-coding RNA of Elgaria multicarinata webbii, 451 nucleotides long. RefSeq lists it as uncharacterized. NCBI's taxonomy places the organism in Eukaryota, Metazoa, Chordata, Lepidosauria, Squamata, Anguidae. The record is from RefSeq and is a predicted model, not a curated record. The transcript is spliced from 2 exons.